GAGGUCUUGCAGGAACGACGGGUCGAGGGGCGGCGCUCGGAGCUCCGGUAGCAACAGGCGGAGGGAUCUCUGCCUCGUUCACAGGCCUCCCUUUUUUAACAGCCGCUAACAUCGACUCCAACGUCUGUACACAGCAACAGAUAUCACCAACCUUCAGACCACGGUCAUAUCUCCUGGCCUUGGACGUCUCUCCUGCGGUCUUGGCGUUCUGCAGAGCCGUCCUGUACAUGGCUGCUCUCUCCUCCAGGGUGUGUUGGAGGCUGCCGGGGGCUGCAGAGGACGUCUUCACUUCCUUCUGCUUCACGAGUUUAACAACAAAACAACAAGCAGGCAAUGUAAACAUCAGCAUGGAUCACAGGAGGAAAAGUAUGUGUCACACAGAUGUACAAUGAGAUGGAAUUAAACACUAAAUGCAGACUUACCAGGAAGAAGUGAAAAUAUUCACCUCAGGUGCAUCUACUCUACCGGUAAUGUUAGCAAGUUGAAAACUGUUGUUUGCAUAAAAACACUAAUCUGAUUGAACAUGAACAUAGGAAAGAAGACAGAAGCUUGUCUCCCUUCCUGUUACUGGCAACAGACAAACAUUUCUGCCAUGUAUGUUGGUGGCGGGCCGUGUUGUUUUCACGUGUUGUUUUUCUACCUGCGCCACUGGAGAUUCUGGUGUUGCAGCUUGAGAAGAUUCAGCCAGAGAGGAGGAUGUGGAGGAAGCAGUUACCGCAUCCUCAGCUUCCUCAUCACCCACCACUUCCUGCAGCUCUGCCUGAUGAGGAAAGAACACAGCAACUGAUCAACGAGCCGGAUCUGACUGCUCACGUACGAAGCUGGAUUUAAGAGGUAAAAUAACACUUCCACCUCUAGUUCCCAGCCUCUCAUGGUGCCUCCAGAGCUGUAAAUCCACUCACUCUUCCCCUUGGGCUUGGUUCUCCCUCCUGCAGCAGCUUUAUUCCCGGUGAUAGCAGCGAGUUCAGCCUCC
Molecule: long non-coding RNA, 973 nt
Organism: Amphiprion ocellaris (clown anemonefish)
Lineage: Eukaryota; Metazoa; Chordata; Actinopteri; Pomacentridae
Exons: 3
Source: RefSeq, a predicted model, not a curated record